GACGUAGGGCGCGAGCGUUGUCCGGAUUUAUUGGGCGUAAAGAGCUCGUAGGCGGCUUGUCGCGUCGACUGUGAAAUCCCGCGGCUCAACUGCGGGUCUGCAGUCGAUACGGGCAGGCUAGAGUUCGGUAGGGGAGACUGGAAUUCCUGGUGUAGCGGUGAAAUGCGCAGAUAUCAGGAGGAACACCGGUGACGAAGGCGGGUCUCUGGGCCGAUACUGACGCUGAGGAGCGAAAGCGUGGGGAGCGAACAGG
Molecule: ribosomal RNA, 253 nt
Filed under: uncultured bacterium
Lineage: Bacteria
Description: partial 16S ribosomal RNA
Rfam family: Bacterial small subunit ribosomal RNA
Source: RNAcentral